This 66-nucleotide transfer RNA is filed under the name Telenomus remus. RNAcentral describes it as "tRNA-Asn". The record is from RNAcentral. Lineage: Eukaryota; Metazoa; Arthropoda; Insecta; Hymenoptera; Scelionidae.
UUAAUUGAAACCAAAAAGAGGUAAAUUAUUGUUAAUAAUUUUAUUGAAAUAAAAUUUCCAAUUAAA